CCCUGGUAAUGUUGAGGUUCUAACUCUGUCCCGUGAUCCGGGACGAGGACCGUGUCUGGUGGGUAGUUUGACUGGGGCGGUCUCCUCCUAAAGAGUAACGGAGGAGUACGAAGGUGCGCUCAGCGUGGUCGGAAAUCACGCGUAGAGUAUAAAGGCAAAAGCGCGCUUAACUGCGAGACCCACAAGUCGAGCAGGUACGAAAGUAGGUCUUAGUGAUCCGGUGGUUCUGUAUGGAAGGGCCAUCGCUCAACGGAUAAAAGGUACUCUGGGGAUAACAGGCUGAUACCGCCCAAGAGUUCAUAUCGACGGCGGUGUUUGGCACCUCGAUGUCGGCUCAUCUCAUCCUGGGGCUGAAGCAGGUCCCAAGGGUAUGGCUGUUCGCCAUUUAAAGAGGGACGCGAGCUGGGUUUAGAACGUCGUGAGACA
Molecule: ribosomal RNA, 426 nt
Filed under: Acinetobacter baumannii
Lineage: Bacteria; Pseudomonadati; Pseudomonadota; Gammaproteobacteria; Moraxellales; Moraxellaceae
Description: partial 23S ribosomal RNA
Rfam family: Bacterial large subunit ribosomal RNA
Source: RNAcentral